This 825-nucleotide non-coding RNA is filed under the name Gelasimus borealis. The record is from RNAcentral. Lineage: Eukaryota; Metazoa; Arthropoda; Malacostraca; Decapoda; Ocypodidae.
AGAAUGUUUGAUCUUGGCUUAGGUUUUAUAAUAUAUUUGAAAUUGCAUGAAAAUUUUUGUAUUGGGUUGUUUAAUAGUAAAUUUUAUAUUUGCUAUGUCCGUAUUAUAUAAGAUUAAAUGAUAAAUUUAGUUCUCAGCAUGUUAAAUUAUAAUUGAUAUAUGGAAAUAUGAUUUAGAAAAUAUUUUAGGUCUAGUAAAUUUUGUGCCAGCAUCUGCGGUUAUACUUAAAGUUCAAGUAAAAGUUUUUCGGUUAAAGUUAGAUGAAAUUAAAUUUAUGGUUAGUUACUUACAAUAAAAGGUAAAAUUAAAUUGUUGUUAUGUAAAAAAGUAAAUUGAAAAUUGAAGCUAAAAAAGUUUAAUAAAAAACUAGGAUUAGAUACCCUAUUAUUUAAAUUAAAAUAUUUGAGACCUGGUUAGUAGUAGUUAUUUUCUUAAAAACUAAAAGAUUUGGCGGUAGUUUAAUCUUUUCAGAGGAAUUUGUUUUUUAAUCGAUAAACCACGAAGUAUCUUACUUAUCUUGUGUAUAGUAGUUUGUAUACCAUCAUUAUAAGGUAAUUUUAAAAGAAAAAAUUGCUUUAAUUAAAAAGUUUUAAUAAAAUUAGAUCAUGGUGCAGCUGAUAGAUAAGUUAAAAUGAAUUACAAUAAAUUAUUUUAAACGGAGUUAUAAAGUAAGAGUUAUAAUGAAGGAGGAUUUGAUUGUAUUGCAAGUUUAAUAAGCUUGAAAGAUAUAAGCUCUAAAUUAUGUACAUAUCGCCCGUCGCUUUCAUUUAUAAGUGAAAUAAGUCGUAACAUAGUAGAUGUACUGGAAAGUGUAUCUAGAAUUAA